GCUCUUGUAGCUCAGAUGGUAGAGCGCAUCCUUGGUAAGGAUGAGGUCGGCAGUUCGAUUCUGCCCAAGAGCACCA
RNAcentral lists this transfer RNA (76 nucleotides) under Thiothrix sp. RNAcentral's name for it is "tRNA-Thr". It matches the Rfam family "tRNA". Rfam says of the family: Transfer RNA (tRNA) molecules are approximately 80 nucleotides in length. Their secondary structure includes four short double-helical elements and three loops (D, anti-codon, and T loops). RNAcentral also lists the same sequence under 2 other names. The record is from RNAcentral. Lineage: Bacteria; Pseudomonadati; Pseudomonadota; Gammaproteobacteria; Thiotrichales; Thiotrichaceae.